Molecule: transfer RNA, 66 nt
Filed under: Olea europaea subsp. europaea
Lineage: Eukaryota; Viridiplantae; Streptophyta; Magnoliopsida; Lamiales; Oleaceae
Description: tRNA.Val
Source: RNAcentral
AUUGCCGUCCAGCGGUUAGGAUAUCUGGCUUACAUCCAAGAGACCCGAGUUCGAUUCCCUACAAUG